RNAcentral lists this ribosomal RNA (749 nucleotides) under uncultured Pseudoramibacter sp. Its description in RNAcentral is "bacterial SSU rRNA". It matches the Rfam family "Bacterial small subunit ribosomal RNA", at positions 28 to 776 of the family's 1533-position model. The record is from RNAcentral. Lineage: Bacteria; Bacillati; Bacillota; Clostridia; Eubacteriales; Eubacteriaceae.
GACGAACGCUGGCGGUAUGCUUAACACAUGCAAGUCGAACGAGAAGUCUUUUAUUGAACCUUCGGGGGAUAUAAGAGACAGACAGUGGCGAACGGGUGAGUAACGCGUGGGCAACCUACCUAUCGGAGCGGGAUAGCCUCGAGAAAUCGGGAGUAAAACCGCAUAACACGGAUAUAUCGCAUGAUGAAUCCGUCAAAACUCCGGUGCCGAUAGAUGGGCCCGCGUCUGAUUAGCUAGUUGGUAAGGUAAGGGCUUACCAAGGCAACGAUCAGUAGCCGGUCUGAGAGGGCGAACGGCCACACUGGAACUGAGACACGGUCCAGACUCCUACGGGAGGCAGCAGUGGGGAAUAUUGCGCAAUGGGGGCAACCCUGACGCAGCAAUACCGCGUGAGUGAAGAAGGUUUUCGGAUCGUAAAGCUCUGUUAUUGGGGAAGAAGCAGUGACGGUACCCAAUGAGGAAGUCCCGGCUAACUACGUGCCAGCAGCCGCAGUAAUACGUAGGGGACGAGCGUUGUCCGGAAUCACUGGGCGUAAAGGGCGCGUAGGCGGUUUUAUAAGUCAGAUGUGAAAGGUACCGGCUCAACCGGUGACGUGCAUUUGAAACUGUAAGACUUGAGUACUGAAGAGGCAAGCGGAAUUCCUAGUGUAGCGGUGAAAUGCGUAGAUAUUAGGAAGAACACCGGUGGCGAAGGCGGCUUGCUGGGCAGAUACUGACGCUGAGGUGCGAAAGCGUGGGGAGCGAACAGG